AACGCUAGCUACAGGCUUAACACAUGCAAGUCGAGGGGUAGCAGGAUAGCAAUACCGCUGACGACCGGCGCACGGGUGAGUAACACGUAUCCAACCUUCCCAUAACUCGGGGAUAGCCUUUCGAAAGAAAGAUUAAUACCCGAUAGUACUUUUUCAAGGCAUCUUGAGAAAGUUAAAGAUUUAUUGGUUAUGGAUGGGGAUGCGUUCCAUUAGAUAGUUGGUGAGGUAACGGCUCACCAAGUCUUCGAUGGAUAGGGGUUCUGAGAGGAAGGUCCCCCACAUUGGUACUGAGACACGGACCAAACUCCUACGGGAGGCAGCAGUGAGGAAUAUUGGUCAAUGGGCGAGAGCCUGAACCAGCCAAGUAGCGUGAAGGAUGAAGGUCCUAUGGAUUGUAAACUUCUUUUAUAGUAGAAUAAAGUGAUCCACGUGUGGAUUUUUGUAUGUAUACUAUGAAUAAGGAUCGGCUAACUCCGUGCCAGCAGCCGCGGUAAUACGGAGGAUCCGAGCGUUAUCCGGAUUUAUUGGGUUUAAAGGGUGCGUAGGCGGAAUAAUAAGUCAGUUGUGAAAGUUUGCGGCUCAACCGUAAAAUUGCAGUUGAUACUGUUAUUCUUGAGUGUACAUAAGGUAGGCGGAAUUCGUGGUGUAGCGGUGAAAUGCUUAGAUAUCACGAAGAACUCCGAUUG
RNAcentral lists this ribosomal RNA (686 nucleotides) under uncultured bacterium. RNAcentral's name for it is "bacterial SSU rRNA". It matches the Rfam family "Bacterial small subunit ribosomal RNA", at positions 32 to 715 of the family's 1533-position model. The record is from RNAcentral.